Molecule: ribosomal RNA, 253 nt
Filed under: uncultured bacterium
Lineage: Bacteria
Description: partial 16S ribosomal RNA
Rfam family: Bacterial small subunit ribosomal RNA
Source: RNAcentral
UACAGAGGGUGCGAGCGUUGUUCGGAAUUAUUGGGCGUAAAGGGCGCGUAGGCGGUGCGGUAAGUCACCUGUGAAAUCUCCUGGCUCAACUGGGAGCUUGCAGGCGAAACUGCCGUGCUGGAGUGUGGGAGAGGUGCGUGGAAUUCCUGGUGUAGCGGUGAAAUGCGUAGAUAUCGGGAGGAACACCGGUGGCGAAGGCGGCGAUCUGGGUCGAUACUGACGCUGAGGUGCGAAAGCGUGGGGAGCAAACAGG